ACUCCUUAAUUCGCUCCACACGGGGGCGAAUCUACAUAGUAAUAAGGGUAGAACGUGCUACCCUUUUUUUUCAAAAAAAUAAUCGCAGAAAAAAAAAAUUAACCUAAUGUAACGCGUGCCGUUCUCUUCCUCUCACUCUCUCAAACUCAAAGCCUCUUCUCUAUUCUACUCUCCGUCUCUAUUUUCGCUUCACUUACCGGCCAGACGCUUCACUUACCGGUGAGUCUUGCUUCUUCGACUUUAGUCUUCGUCGAUCUUUGCUUCUUUGCUGGUACAAUUUCAGCAAAUUAAGGAACCACUUUCAGGCUUUAGCAAAUAAAUUGGGUGAUAGAUUAAUGUAGUGCAUAAUUAAGGAGAAAACGUCUUCUUGUACAAUUUCAGCAAAUAAUUUGGGUGAUAAAUGAACCGGAAAUUCAGGUAUCAACAUUUGAGAAAGCGCUUAUACUGGUAAAUAAGAAUGGUUAUGUUGUUAUUGAUGUUUUUUGUUUCCAAUCCUUUGGAGGAACCACUUUCUACAAUUUACAUUCGUGGGUAAGAUUCUUCAUCCUUUUCAAUAUAAUAUGCUCUUUCUCUUGCUACAUUGUCCAUUGAUUGCACCAAACCAACAAAACACACACAUGUAACAUUGUCAAUUGUGGUAUAGUACUUCAAUUUGACGAGUUCAUUUUUCUCGAUAGUUUUCUUUCAAUUAUGAGCAACUUUUGGUUUAAGAGAAUGAAUUUGUUGUUUUCUUUUUACUCACUGCCUAAACAGGUUGACUUUAUUUUUAGUUUUAGUUUAUUAUGGCCUAAAUCAAUUCUCCACCUAAACUGCUACUACUUUCAUGUCACAAACUUAUUUUGUGAAUUUUGAACAACUAUAUUACAAUUUGUGAAUCGUAAGUGACUUAGUCAAUUGAAGUAUGAUUUGUGAAGGAAGUUGAGGUUUUUUUCUUUUUAGUUUGGUCAAGAAGAUACUAGUUGAAGUUGAUCCAAAAUCCAAAUCUUCCUCCAACUUAACCAAGUUGAAAAUGAAGUGAUGACUUAUCUUGAGAAAUAUUUGUUUUCGGAGAUAAAAGGAUGAUACAUUUGUAAAUUGGUUCCAAAAUUUGAGAGCGCGUGGUGAACAAUCAUAAUUUUCUUUUGUUAAAGUACUUUCUAACAUUUUGAACUUGAUAGUCAUAGUUUUUUGUUGGUAUACGAUAGUAUCGUAAAAUUACGCUACCCCUGGCUGAAAAUCCUGGACCGCCCCUGUCCACACCGCUCGCCGUUUAGAGAAUUUAAUUGGUUAGUUUUUAUUUUAAUUGUUCGAAAAUAUCAGUUUCUUUGAUAAUAUGUUCAAUUCAGAAUUUUGGUAAUGGCUUCUCAAUUUGUUUGAUUUGAUUCAUUGAUUUAUUUGAUUCAUUAAAACAUAUAUAUAGAAUAUAGUUGAUGUUCUCAUCAUUGUUUUUUUUUUUUUUUUGAAGUGAAUGUUCUCGUCAUCUCUCUGUUUGUUAAUUAGAUUGAAGACCGAAAUUCUAAAAGCUUAUACUGUAUAAUCAUGUGAAUGAUGAUUGCAUGUUUUGGAACUAAAGCAACUUUGUCAGCACUUCUUUGGGACAGCAUGGUUCUUGCCUUCAUUGUCAUCGCUCAUAUCAGGAGCCCGCAACGACUGUUAAUUGUCAGAUGUGUUGUUUUAUGGGUUUGAGUUUUGUGAUUUAUAUCAGAACUCUGCCCCCUUCUUUUGAUUUAGGCUUUGUUAUUAAAUCUAUGUUGUAUAAGAAGAUUACUGUUGUGACAUGACUGGCAUAUUUGCUUUGCAGGUCUUGCAUUUGCUUAAAAGAUACUUAGGUGAAUAUGUUCAUGGACUUUCCCUUGAGGCUUUAAAAGUUAGUGUUUGGAAAGGAUGAUGGAACUAAUGGCGGAUUAGAGUAGCAAACAUGCAUGAUACAUCGAGAAGCAUGCCUACAUGGAUAAUGGAAUUGAAGAAUAAUGAAAGAAUGACCUUAAGAUUUGUUUAGGUUUAUUUAAGGAGAGAUAUAUAUAUUAUGAUUUUAUGAUUUAAUUUUCAGAUUAACUAUUUAUAUUUUAGAUGCAAUAGUAUGUUUUCGAUUGAGUA
Molecule: long non-coding RNA, 2076 nt
Organism: Beta vulgaris subsp. vulgaris (sugar beet)
Lineage: Eukaryota; Viridiplantae; Streptophyta; Magnoliopsida; Caryophyllales; Amaranthaceae
Exons: 2
Source: RefSeq, a predicted model, not a curated record